RNAcentral lists this unclassified non-coding RNA (260 nucleotides) under uncultured fungus. RNAcentral describes it as "sequence contains ITS2". The stretch from base 1 to 52 matches the Rfam family "5.8S ribosomal RNA", at positions 103 to 154 of the family's 154-position model. The record is from RNAcentral. Lineage: Eukaryota; Fungi.
AACGCACAUUGCGCCCAUUGGUAUUCCGAUGGGCAUGCCUGUUCGAGCGUCAUUAUCCUUCCUCAAACCUUGCGUUUGGUGUUGGACCGCGUUGGUCGAGCGACCAACUGGUCUCAAAGACAAUGACGGCGUCCGUGGGACCCUCGGUGCAACGAGCUUCUAAGGAGCACGCGUCGAGUUUCAAGGACCCUCCGGGCCGGUCUUGACCUUUAUUUUCUCAGGUUGACCUCGGAUCAGGUAGGAAUACCCGCUGAACUUAA